AGAUUAAGUUAUUAAGGGCGCACGGUGGAUGCCUUGGCACUAGAAGCCGAUGAAGGACGUUACUAACGACGAUAUGCUUUGGGUAGCUGUAAGUAAGCGUUGAUCCAGAGAUUUCCGAAUGGGGGAACCCAGCAUGAGUUAUGUCAUGUUAUCGACAUGUGAAUUUAUAGCAUGUCAGAAGGCAGACCCGGAGAACUGAAACAUCUUAGUACCCGGAGGAAGAGAAAGAAAAAUCGAUUCCCUGAGUAGCGGCGAGCGAAACGGGAAGAGCCCAAACCAACAAGCUUGCUUGUUGGGGUUGUAGGACACUCUAUACGGAGUUACAAAAGAACAUGUUAGACGAAUCAUCUGGAAAGAUGAAUCAAAGAAGGUAAUAAUCCUGUAG
Molecule: ribosomal RNA, 385 nt
Filed under: Staphylococcus epidermidis
Lineage: Bacteria; Bacillati; Bacillota; Bacilli; Caryophanales; Staphylococcaceae
Description: partial 23S ribosomal RNA
Rfam family: Bacterial large subunit ribosomal RNA
Source: RNAcentral